GUCCAGGAGUUAUGGAUAUCCUAUAUAAUAAAAGGUUAAUAUGCAAAUAGACCAAAUGGCGGAACAACCGGAACGACUGAACAACUGAACAGUGGGUUGCUAUGACAUGCGCUGACUACCAGGGAGCGUGUACGGAACAUGAUGGGCAUUGGAUGCGGUUGGAUGGUGGAGCAGCCAAAUGGAGAGAACACUAAGUACCUAGAGGAGAGAGGAGUGCAAGAUAAAAUGAACCCGGAUCCUGAAUGGUCCUAUGAAGCAGAACCUCCCUCCUGAGCUGGGACAUUAACUUGAGACUCUUUUCCUGCCUUUCAUUUAGAUUGGGGCCAUGUGACUAGAUCUGAAGACGGUACUAUAAGGAAAAGUAAUGUUGAUGACUUCUAAGACAAAGCAGCUUGAAGGCCACAUUUGAGAUGGAGGAGCCACAAGAUAGAUAGAAGAAGCCUGAAUCACUGAGUAACUGCAUAGAAGACUGAAGAGCUGCCCAACAACUCAUGAACUUUUAUGUAAUCAAGAAAUAAAACUUGUUUUACUUUACUAAAAGUUUGGGGUUUAUUGGGUACUGCAGCAUAGCCUAUUGUUACCCUGGCUACUAUAUAUUGUUUUGUAGGGUAUCUUACUAUCUGGUAGAAUUAGUCUCUUCUCUUUAUACUUAUUUUUUUCAAAAUUGACACAGCUCUUUCUGAUUCUUAAUACUUCCAUAUAAAUGCUAGAAUGUGUCAAUCAAGCUUUGAUAGAUUUCUUUAAAUGUUAAGGCAAUUAUACAUUCCAACAUUGA
This is a long non-coding RNA of Myotis myotis, 775 nucleotides long. RefSeq lists it as uncharacterized. The record is from RefSeq and is a predicted model, not a curated record. NCBI's taxonomy places the organism in Eukaryota, Metazoa, Chordata, Mammalia, Chiroptera, Vespertilionidae. The transcript has 3 exons.